RNAcentral lists this ribosomal RNA (537 nucleotides) under uncultured bacterium. RNAcentral describes it as "partial 16S ribosomal RNA". It matches the Rfam family "Bacterial small subunit ribosomal RNA", at positions 355 to 909 of the family's 1533-position model. The record is from RNAcentral.
UGGGGAAUAUUGGACAAUGGGGGCAACCCUGAUCCAGCAAUGCCGCGUGUGUGAAGAAGGUCUUCGGAUUGUAAAGCACUUUCGACGGGGACGAUGAUGACGGUACCCGUAGAAGAAGCCCCGGCUAACUUCGUGCCAGCAGCCGCGGUAAUACGAAGGGGGCUAGCGUUGCUCGGAAUGACUGGGCGUAAAGGGCGUGUAGGCGGUUUACACAGUCAGAUGUGAAAUCCCCGGGCUUAACCUGGGAGCUGCAUUUGAUACGUGUAGACUAGAGUGUGAGAGAGGGUUGUGGAAUUCCCAGUGUAGAGGUGAAAUUCGUAGAUAUUGGGAAGAACACCGGUGGCGAAGGCGGCAACCUGGCUCAUGACUGACGCUGAGGCGCGAAAGCGUGGGGAGCAAACAGGAUUAGAUACCCUGGUAGUCCACGCCGUAAACGAUGUGUGCUAGAUGUUGGGUAACUUUGUUAUUCAGUGUCGCAGUUAACGCGUUAAGCACACCGCCUGGGGAGUACGGCCGCAAGGUUGAAACUCUAAAGUG